This 361-nucleotide long non-coding RNA is filed under the name Populus tremula. RNAcentral describes it as "long non-coding RNA (PTRE_LNC001541)". Lineage: Eukaryota; Viridiplantae; Streptophyta; Magnoliopsida; Malpighiales; Salicaceae. The record is from RNAcentral.
UUGGCAAACUUAAUAUCUGAGAUUGAGGCAAUUAUCUCUGUGAAGAAGGACCUUGAACCAGGCACCUCUUGUUCCUCAAACCUGGCCACCAGAGAGCACAAUGUAUAUAUUCAAAAGAAAAGGAAAAAAAGUAAAUCAAUAAAAGAGAUCUAAAACGUCUCAUGAUACAUCCAUAACUCCAUGACGUUAGAGAAUACAUGAAAAAUCAACAAAAGAAAACCAUGUAGACAAAAAACCUAAAGUACUUACAAUUUGCUAUGAGAAUCGCAUAGAGCUGACUGUCGCAUGUCAACUAAACGAAUUGAGCCCCUUGAACUACUAUAUGCCAGAAUAUUGCAAUGAGUAGGAUGAAAUUCUGCUG